Girardinichthys multiradiatus is the source of this 1260-nucleotide non-coding RNA. The record is from the annotation of a RefSeq genome assembly. NCBI's taxonomy places the organism in Eukaryota, Metazoa, Chordata, Actinopteri, Cyprinodontiformes, Goodeidae.
UUUUUGAAGAUGAUUCUGGGUCAGAAGAAGCUGAGAACCUGUUAACCAGGAGGAAGAGGAGUUGAGAGGUUCAGGGAGGAGCUGAGAUGUUACUGAACUCUAGAAGAAACUCAAACUUCCUCAUUCAACACAGUUCAACACAUAAACAUCAACUCUGCUCAACAUGGACUAUUAUGGACUUUCUCUGCUCAUUGCCUCACUUCUAACAGGUGUCAGCUGUGAUCAACUGACUCCACAUAAGAAGGACGUUUUGGGUUUAGAAGGCAGCUCUGUUACUCUGUCCUACAAUUUAUCCAGACAAGCAGUUGUGAAUGAUUACUUCUUCUGGUAUCGACAAUAUCCUGGAAAACCUCCAGAGUUCCUGAUCUCUCACACUGGAAAAGGAAGCAAACUCCAGGAUCCAGUUCCUGGUUUUUCCUUUAAAGUGAGAGAUGAAAACAUCCAGAUGGACCUGCAGAUCAUCUCUGCUGCAGUGACAGAUUCUGCUGUGUACUACUGUGCUGUGAGGCCCACAGUGACAGGAAACACCAGAACUCUGUACAAGAACCUGCAAUACUCCACAUCAUCCACUAGAGGACCUCACACACUGUUAAACCACUGAUUGUUGAGUCUUUGGACUGAUGACAAAGACAACAGAGACAUGAAGCAGUAAAGAUCAGAGACAGAGCUGCUGUGGAAGCAGAAAACUCUGUGAUUGGUUGAGUUGAAGUGGCCCCGCCCACUGAACUUCAACUAAGUUCAUGUGAAGAUCCACGAAGUUGUGCCUGUUUCCUGUUUUAUCAAAGUCACUGUGGUUCCAGCUGCUAAUCAAACACAGUAGAUGAUCCACAGGAGCAGAGUCACAGCUUCAGAUUGAAAAAAUUAUUUAAUUUGAACCUUUGUUUUUGUCGAGUACGCCAGCUUCCGCCCACAGUCCAAAAACAUGACUGGUAGGUCAGUUGGUUUCUCUAAAUUGCCCUUAGACGUGAAUGAGUGUGUGCAUGGUUGUUUGUCCUGUGUGUGCCUGUGUUGCCCUGCGAUGGACUGGCGACCUGUCCAGGGUGAACCCCGCCUCCCGCCCGUAAACUGCUGGAGAUAGGCACCAACUCCCCCAUGACCCACUAUGGAAGAAGUUUUAGCGUUAAUUAGGUUUUCUACUGCAGAUCCAGUAAAGUUCUCCUCCACCAGGUCACCAAAGUAAAUCAAAGAUACAAUCCAAUCCAACUUGACCAUACAAACAUGCAAAUAUAUGAUGCAAAAUAAAGAGAGAACAAGAAAGUA